RNAcentral lists this ribosomal RNA (352 nucleotides) under Paradentiscutata baiana. RNAcentral's name for it is "partial large subunit ribosomal RNA". Lineage: Eukaryota; Fungi; Glomeromycota; Glomeromycetes; Diversisporales; Gigasporaceae. The record is from RNAcentral.
AGAGUUAAAUAGUACGUGAAAUUGUUGAAAGGGAAACGAUUGAAGUCAGUCAUGCCGGCGGGAAUCAACUUAGGGGAAACCUUGAGUGCACUUCUUCGCUUGGCAGGUCAGCGUCGAUUUUGGACGUCAUAAAAUGAUUGGGGGAAGGUAGCUCCUUCGGGAGUGUUAUAGCCCUUGGUAUAUGUGAUGUCUGGGAUCGAGGAUUGCAACGGAUACUCUUCGGGGCUAGCCGCCUGAUCUCUAAUCGAUGUUGGGUUACGGACAGCACGCUGACCGUGAUUUAAUUAUUGGUUAAAAGGUUAGAGCGUGCGUAAAUUCGUUAAGGACGCUGACGUAAUGGCUUUAAACGACC